AUACGGAGGGUGCAAGCGUUACUCGGAAUCACUGGGUGUAAAGCGCGCGCAGGCGGUCUUUUAAGUUGGAUGUGAAAGCCUACAGCUCAACUGUAGAACUGCAUCCAAAACUAUUAGACUAGAGUCUGGGAGGGGAAGAUGGAAUUAGUUGUGUAGGGGUAAAAUCCGUAGAGAUAACUAGGAAUACCAAAAGCGAAGGCGAUCUUCUGGAACAGUACUGACGCUGAGGCGCGAAAGCGUGGGGAGCAAACAGGAUUAGAAACCCUAGUAGUCC
RNAcentral lists this ribosomal RNA (274 nucleotides) under uncultured bacterium. Its description in RNAcentral is "partial 16S ribosomal RNA". It matches the Rfam family "Bacterial small subunit ribosomal RNA", at positions 523 to 796 of the family's 1533-position model. The record is from RNAcentral.